CUCAUUUAGAGCUGCCACCCUAACCAUCCUACCAGACGAAGUUAGAACUUUCCAUUUUUCCUCUAGCACUAUUUACUUUUCCCUCUGACACUUAUUGUUUCUGUGUUACUAGUUUAAGUUCUUCAUCUCCAUUAAACUACAAUUCCAGAAGGACAGGGACUAUAUGUCUACUUUAUUUGCAAACCUGUCCCUAGGGCCUGGCACAGUCAUAGAGUAGGUAGGUGCUUUAGAAAAUUUCUGUUCAUUGAAUGAAGUAAAAAACAGAACAGCUAUAAAAUACCUAGUAUAGUCUAUUAAGAAGACACGGUACAGUGGGACCCAGUGCUGACAAUAACAUGAAAUCAUCUACUUUAAAUAAUACAGAGGAUUACAGACUACGGGCAACUGCACACAUGAAGCCAGGCUCACCCAUUUAACGGCAAACUGACCUGUUUAAAAAGGUGGUGGCCCAGCUGCAGUGUAGCAGGCAGCAGAAUGUCCUGUGCGAUGCUGGAGCAAGACACAGGGUACCCUGUGCAUGCCCGUGAUUCUGGCUGCCUGGGGGGAUGGGGAAAGGACUGCAACAA
This is a long non-coding RNA of Tupaia belangeri chinensis (Chinese tree shrew), 566 nucleotides long. RefSeq lists it as uncharacterized. The transcript is spliced from 3 exons. Lineage: Eukaryota; Metazoa; Chordata; Mammalia; Scandentia; Tupaiidae. The record is from RefSeq and is a predicted model, not a curated record.